GACCCUAUCGUCUAGAGGCCUAGGACAAUACCCUUUCACGGUAUGAACCCGGGUUCGAAUCCCGGUGGGGUCGCCA
Molecule: transfer RNA, 76 nt
Filed under: Betaproteobacteria bacterium
Lineage: Bacteria; Pseudomonadati; Pseudomonadota; Betaproteobacteria
Also listed under: 7 other names
Description: tRNA-Glu
Rfam family: tRNA
About the family: Transfer RNA (tRNA) molecules are approximately 80 nucleotides in length. Their secondary structure includes four short double-helical elements and three loops (D, anti-codon, and T loops).
Source: RNAcentral